AGGUUGCGGCAAUAACAGGUCUGUGAUGCCCUUAGAUGUCCCGGGCUGCACACGUGCUACAAUGAGUGGCGCAAUGUGUGCAAUUUUGUAAGGGAUAAGAGUGUGGUCAGUAUGCCGUCGGGGAUUCCCCCUGACGUCUCCUAGCACACGAUUAUCAGCCUUUCCUUAACAGGGCGGGUAACCUUUUCAAAAUACCAGUUUGAUUUUAAAGCUUUGGGUCAAUUAGGGUGAUGGUUCGAUAGAACCAAUAUCACCCAGCUGCUACUCGUGCGCGCGUGUUAUUCCUGGUGACUCAUGGUGGGGACCGACAUUUGUAAUUGUCUGUCGCGUGUUAACCGGGAAUGCCUUGUACUGUCGAUUCACUAAGUUAUGGGGAAUACGUCCCUGCCCUUUGUACACACCGCCCGUCGCUCUUAC
Molecule: ribosomal RNA, 417 nt
Filed under: Globigerinoides ruber ruber
Lineage: Eukaryota; Foraminifera; Rotaliida; Globigerinidae
Description: partial small subunit ribosomal RNA
Rfam family: Eukaryotic small subunit ribosomal RNA
Source: RNAcentral